Molecule: ribosomal RNA, 392 nt
Filed under: uncultured bacterium
Lineage: Bacteria
Description: partial 16S ribosomal RNA
Rfam family: Bacterial small subunit ribosomal RNA
Source: RNAcentral
AUACGGAGGAUCCGAGCGUUAUCCGGAUUUAUUGGGUUUAAAGGGUGCGCAGGCGGCCAUUUAAGUCAGCGGUUAAAUCGUGGGGCUCAACCCCAUUCUGCCGUUGAUACUGGGUGGCUUGAUUGCGGUCGAGGUUGGCGGAAUUCGUUGUGUAGCGGUGAAAUGCAUAGAUAUGACGAAGAACACCGAGUGCGUAGGCAGCUGACCAGACCGCAAAUGACGCUCAUGCACGAAAGUGCGGGGAUCGAACAGGAUUAGAUACCCUGGUAGUCCGCACAGUAAACGAUGAAUACUUGUUUUCGGCGAUAUAAUGUCGGAGGCAAAGCGAAAGCGAUAAGUAUUCCACCUGGGGAGUACGCCGGCAACGGUGAAACUCAAAGGAAUUGACGGGG